AGGGGCGUAGCUCAGUCUGGUCAGAGCGGCGGUCUCCAAAACCGCGGGCCGAGGGUUCGAAUCCUUCCGCCCCUGCCA
This 78-nucleotide transfer RNA is filed under the name Chloroflexota bacterium. RNAcentral's name for it is "Chloroflexi bacterium tRNA-Trp". It matches the Rfam family "tRNA". Rfam says of the family: Transfer RNA (tRNA) molecules are approximately 80 nucleotides in length. Their secondary structure includes four short double-helical elements and three loops (D, anti-codon, and T loops). Further hydrogen bonds mediate the characteristic L-shaped molecular structure. tRNAs have two regions of fundamental functional importance: the anti-codon, which is responsible for specific mRNA codon recognition, and the 3' end, to which the tRNAs corresponding amino acid is attached (by aminoacyl-tRNA synthetases). tRNAs cope with the degeneracy of the genetic code in two manners: having more than one tRNA (with a specific anti-codon) for a particular amino acid; and 'wobble' base-pairing, i.e. permitting non-standard base-pairing at the 3rd anti-codon position. The record is from RNAcentral. RNAcentral also lists the same sequence under 1 other name. Lineage: Bacteria; Bacillati; Chloroflexota.